RNAcentral lists this ribosomal RNA (2899 nucleotides) under Klebsiella aerogenes. RNAcentral's name for it is "bacterial LSU rRNA". It matches the Rfam family "Bacterial large subunit ribosomal RNA". The record is from RNAcentral. Lineage: Bacteria; Pseudomonadati; Pseudomonadota; Gammaproteobacteria; Enterobacterales; Enterobacteriaceae.
UUAAGCGACUAAGCGUACACGGUGGAUGCCCUGGCAGUCAGAGGCGAUGAAGGACGUGCUAAUCUGCGAAAAGCGUCGGUAAGGUGAUAUGAACCGUUACAGCCGGCGAUGUCCGAAUGGGGAAACCCAGUGUGAUUCGUCACACUAUCGUUAACUGAAUACAUAGGUUAACGAGGCGAACCGGGGGAACUGAAACAUCUAAGUACCCCGAGGAAAAGAAAUCAACCGAGAUUCCCCCAGUAGCGGCGAGCGAACGGGGAGCAGCCCAGAGUCUGAAUCAGCUUGUGUGUUAGUGGAACGGUCUGGAAAGUCCGACGGUACAGGGUGAUAGUCCCGUACACCAAAAUGCACAGGUUGUGAACUCGAAGAGUAGGGCGGGACACGUGGUAUCCUGUCUGAAUAUGGGGGGACCAUCCUCCAAGGCUAAAUACUCCUGACUGACCGAUAGUGAACCAGUACCGUGAGGGAAAGGCGAAAAGAACCCCGGCGAGGGGAGUGAAAAAGAACCUGAAACCGUGUACGUACAAGCAGUGGGAGCACCUUCGGGUGUGACUGCGUACCUUUUGUAUAAUGGGUCAGCGACUUAUAUUCUGUAGCAAGGUUAACCGUAUAGGGGAGCCGCAGGGAAACCGAGUCUUAACUGGGCGUUAAGUUGCAGGGUAUAGACCCGAAACCCGGUGAUCUAGCCAUGGGCAGGUUGAAGGUUGGGUAACACUAACUGGAGGACCGAACCGACUAAUGUUGAAAAAUUAGCGGAUGACUUGUGGCUGGGGGUGAAAGGCCAAUCAAACCGGGAGAUAGCUGGUUCUCCCCGAAAGCUAUUUAGGUAGCGCCUCGUGAAUUCAUCUUCGGGGGUAGAGCACUGUUUCGGCUAGGGGGUCAUCCCGACUUACCAACCCGAUGCAAACUACGAAUACCGAAGAAUGUUAUCACGGGAGACACACGGCGGGUGCUAACGUCCGUCGUGAAGAGGGAAACAACCCAGACCGCCAGCUAAGGUCCCAAAGUCAUGGUUAAGUGGGAAACGAUGUGGGAAGGCACAGACAGCCAGGAUGUUGGCUUAGAAGCAGCCAUCAUUUAAAGAAAGCGUAAUAGCUCACUGGUCGAGUCGGCCUGCGCGGAAGAUGUAACGGGGCUAAACCAUGCACCGAAGCUGCGGCAGCGACACUAUGUGUUGUUGGGUAGGGGAGCGUUCUGUAAGCCUGCGAAGGUGUGCUGUGAGGCAUGCUGGAGGUAUCAGAAGUGCGAAUGCUGACAUAAGUAACGAUAAAGCGGGUGAAAAGCCCGCUCGCCGGAAGACCAAGGGUUCCUGUCCAACGUUAAUCGGGGCAGGGUGAGUCGACCCCUAAGGCGAGGCCGAAAGCGUAGUCGAUGGGAAACAGGUUAAUAUUCCUGUACUUGGUGUUACUGCGAAGGGGGGACGGAGAAGGCUAUGUUAGCCGGGCGACGGUUGUCCCGGUUUAAGCAUGUAGGCUGGUUAUCCAGGCAAAUCCGGAUAAUCAAGGCUGAGGUGUGAUGACGAGGCACUACGGUGCUGAAGUAACAAAUGCCCUGCUUCCAGGAAAAGCCUCUAAGCAUCAGGUAACAUUGAAUCGUACCCCAAACCGACACAGGUGGUCAGGUAGAGAAUACCAAGGCGCUUGAGAGAACUCGGGUGAAGGAACUAGGCAAAAUGGUGCCGUAACUUCGGGAGAAGGCACGCUGGUGUGUAGGUGAAGUCCCUGCGGAUGGAGCUGAGACCAGUCGAAGAUACCAGCUGGCUGCAACUGUUUAUUAAAAACACAGCACUGUGCAAACACGAAAGUGGACGUAUACGGUGUGACGCCUGCCCGGUGCCGGAAGGUUAAUUGAUGGGGUUAUCCGUAAGGAGAAGCUCUUGAUCGAAGCCCCGGUAAACGGCGGCCGUAACUAUAACGGUCCUAAGGUAGCGAAAUUCCUUGUCGGGUAAGUUCCGACCUGCACGAAUGGCGUAAUGAUGGCCAGGCUGUCUCCACCCGAGACUCAGUGAAAUUGAACUCGCUGUGAAGAUGCAGUGUACCCGCGGCAAGACGGAAAGACCCCGUGAACCUUUACUAUAGCUUGACACUGAACAUUGAGCCUUGAUGUGUAGGAUAGGUGGGAGGCUUUGAAGCGUGGACGCCAGUCUGCGUGGAGCCAACCUUGAAAUACCACCCUUUAAUGUUUGAUGUUCUAACGUUGGCCCCUGACCGGGGUUGCGGACAGUGUCUGGUGGGUAGUUUGACUGGGGCGGUCUCCUCCUAAAGCGUAACGGAGGAGCACGAAGGUUAGCUAAUCCUGGUCGGACAUCAGGAGGUUAGUGCAAUGGCAUAAGCUAGCUUGACUGCGAGCGUGACGGCGCGAGCAGGUGCGAAAGCAGGUCAUAGUGAUCCGGUGGUUCUGAAUGGAAGGGCCAUCGCUCAACGGAUAAAAGGUACUCCGGGGAUAACAGGCUGAUACCGCCCAAGAGUUCAUAUCGACGGCGGUGUUUGGCACCUCGAUGUCGGCUCAUCACAUCCUGGGGCUGAAGUAGGUCCCAAGGGUAUGGCUGUUCGCCAUUUAAAGUGGUACGCGAGCUGGGUUUAGAACGUCGUGAGACAGUUCGGUCCCUAUCUGCCGUGGGCGCUGGAGAAUUGAGGGGGGCUGCUCCUAGUACGAGAGGACCGGAGUGGACGCAUCACUGGUGUUCGGGUUGUCAUGCCAAUGGCACUGCCCGGUAGCUAAAUGCGGAAGAGAUAAGUGCUGAAAGCAUCUAAGCACGAAACUUGCCCCGAGAUGAGUUCUCCCUGAGACUUUAAGUCUCCUGAAGGAACGUUGAAGACGACGACGUUGAUAGGCCGGGUGUGUAAGCGCAGCGAUGCGUUGAGCUAACCGGUACUAAUGAACCGUGAGGCUUAACCUU